This 460-nucleotide ribosomal RNA is filed under the name uncultured bacterium. RNAcentral describes it as "partial 16S ribosomal RNA". It matches the Rfam family "Bacterial small subunit ribosomal RNA", at positions 338 to 795 of the family's 1533-position model. The record is from RNAcentral.
CCUACGGGGGGCUGCAGUGAGGAAUAUUGGUCAAUGGGCGUAAGCCUGAACCAGCCAAGUCGCGUGAGGGAUGAAGGUUCUAUGGAUCGUAAACCUCUUUUAUAAGGGAAUAAAGUGUGGGACGUGUCCUAUUUUGUAUGUACCUUAUGAAUAAGGAUCGGCUAACUCCGGGCCAGCAGCCGCGGUAAUACGGAGGAUCCGAGCGUUAUCCGGAUUUAUUGGGUUUAAAGGGUGCGUAGGCGGCCUUGUAAGUCAGCGGUGAAAGUCUGUGGCUCAACCAUAGAAUUGCCGUUGAAACUGGGGGGCUUGAGUAUAGUUGAGGCAGGCGGAAUGCGUGGUGUAGCGGUGAAAUGCGUAGAUAUCACGAAGAACCCCGGUGGCGAAGGCAGCCUGCCAAGCCAUGACUGACGCUGAUGCACGAAAGCGUGGGGAUCAAACAGGAUUAGAUACCCGGGUAGUC